ACGGAAGGCAGCAGUGGGGAAUAUUGCACAAUGGGCGCAAGCCUGAUGCAGCGAUGCCGCGUGAGGGAAGAAGGUUUUCGGAUUGUAAACCUCUGUCAUCGGGGACGAUAAUGACUGUACCCGAGAAGGAAGCUCCGGCUAACUACGUGCCAGCAGCCGCGGUAAUACGUAGGGAGCGAGCGUUAUCCGGAUUUACUGGGUGUAAAGGGCGCGUAGGCGGGAAGGCAAGUCAGAUGUGAAAUCCAUGGGCUCAACCCAUGAACUGCAUUUGAAACUGUUUUUCUUGAGUGCUGGAGAGGUAGACGGAAUUCCUUGUGUAGCGGUGAAAUGCGUAGAUAUAAGGAAGAACACCAGUGGCGAAGGCGGUCUACUGGACAGUAACUGACGCUGAGGCGCGAAAGCGUGGGGAGCAAACAGGAUUAGAUACCCUGGUA
Molecule: ribosomal RNA, 434 nt
Rfam family: Bacterial small subunit ribosomal RNA